GAAACAACUGCGGUAUUUUUCUUCUUAAACAAACCAUGGUUCUUCCUGUGAUUUCACAGGUAACAUACUCCCUGCUUAGUAUUUUAAAGAAACUUCUGAAUUUUUGCUCUCUAUAUCUUCCAGUCGACUAUAGAGUUUCAAUUUAUCGCGGGUUCGAAGAAGAGGAGUUACACCUGAUAGGUUGGUUGAUUAAAUAGGAGGAAAUUUGGUUUCGUUGUUUGACUGUGGUGAUAAAUGGCGCUGAAUGAUUGAUGGUUGAUUUGGUCUCUGUAAUGAAUUAGGAUUCAAUAUGGGUUUAUGUGAAUUUGAUUGCUGUGCAGGGAAGGAGUUGUAAUGCUUCAAAAAUCAGAACCAACAGAGUACAGAAGCGGUGUUUGCUAAAAUGCCUAAAUGAAUUGGUUAGCUUUUGUGCUACUGUAAGGCUGCUGUUACCGAUUGAAUGAGGGGUUUAAUGGGUUCUGAUGGUGUCAAAUGUUUUCAUCAGUUGGAGGACAUGGUAUGGGUAGUAGGCGGAGUUGUUUUUGGCAGAGAGAAUGCUUACUGAGCAGGCAGAUGUCAUAAUUUUUGUUGGCGAGGUUGAUCGAGUGUAUUUGAGCACGCCUACAAAGAUUGCCAUCAUAGACCAUGAGAAGAAAAGAUACUUUGUACUGAGAAAAGAAAGCAUGCUUGAUGCAGGUGUGGUUUCUAAAUGCAAGUACUGUUGAGAUGACGAAUACCGGAA
Long non-coding RNA from Papaver somniferum (opium poppy), 721 nucleotides. RefSeq lists it as uncharacterized. The transcript is spliced from 3 exons. Lineage: Eukaryota; Viridiplantae; Streptophyta; Magnoliopsida; Ranunculales; Papaveraceae. The record is from RefSeq and is a predicted model, not a curated record.